This 449-nucleotide ribosomal RNA is filed under the name uncultured bacterium. RNAcentral's name for it is "partial 16S ribosomal RNA". It matches the Rfam family "Bacterial small subunit ribosomal RNA", at positions 29 to 523 of the family's 1533-position model. The record is from RNAcentral.
AACGAACGCUGGCGGCGGGCCUAACACAUGCAAGUCGAACGCUGUAGCAAUACAGAGUGGCAGACGGGUGAGUAACGCGUGGGAACCUUCCCAAUGGUACGGAAUAGCCCAGGGAAACUUGGGGUAAUACCGUAUACGCCCCUAGGGGGAAAGAUUUAUCGCCAUUGGAUGGGCCCGCGUCGGAUUAGCUAGUGGGUGAGGUAAUGGCUCACCAAGGCAACGAUCCGUAGCUGGUUUGAGAGAAUGACCAGCCACACUGGGACUGAGACACGGCCCAGACUCCUACGGGAGGCGGCAGUGGGGAAUCUCGGACAAUGGGCGCAAGCCUGAUCCAGCCAUGCCGCGUGAGUGACGAAGGCCUUAGGGUUGUAAAGCUCUUUUGCCGGGGACGAUAAUGACGGUACCCGGAGAAUAAGUCCCGGCUAACUUCGUGCCAGCCGCCGCAGUAA